RNAcentral lists this long non-coding RNA (266 nucleotides) under Rattus norvegicus (Norway rat). RNAcentral's name for it is "long non-coding RNA NONRATT025357". Lineage: Eukaryota; Metazoa; Chordata; Mammalia; Rodentia; Muridae. The record is from RNAcentral.
GAUUAUUCGCCUGCAAGAUCCCAGUGCCAUCAAGAUCGAGGUGGCCACAUAUGCCACUUGGUACCCCGACUUCAGGAGGUGUCCAUCUUCCCUGCAAAAGAAGCCAAAGGACAAGUGGCACCUAAGCUUCCCCUUAGUGAUGUCUCACGCCUGGCUCCCCAAAAUCAGUUGAUGGAGCAAGAUACAAAGAAGUCUAAGUUGAAAUAAAGUAUCGUUUAAGAACUGCAACUUUGUGAGCCAUAGUAAACUAUACAUGUUUUCAAAAG